UUUAAGAAAUCUUAACUCUUAUAAUGAUAAAUAUAUUAAGAACUUUUAAUAAUAUUUAAAACAUACAUAUAGCCAAAAUUCUUAGGGAUAAGAUUUGACAAUAAGAUUACAUAGUUGUUCUGUGGAAUGUCUCCUUAUUAAGAAUUCACAACAAGCUGGACUUUUAUCUAACUGUUUAGAGCGACGCAUUUUCGACGUUCGCCGUAGAGCCACAAUAAAAAAAGCAUCGAAAGUGAAGUGGACCAGUCGUCCGUUGAAUCCCUACAACGUUUGUCGUUCGUGACACUUUCGGUGUCGCGACGUGACUCGCAACACACAUCUGGUAUGUGUUCUACCUGAAUGCGCGUAAUUGUUUCGCAGCAUCACGGUUAAAAAUAUAACUCAAAUCAACAUGUGGAUUUUGAUAGUAAUUUAUAUACAGAUGCAUACCAUGCCGGUUACGGUGAAGGUGAAGGACCUUUCGGCAUACGAUUUACGCUUUGUUAUAGGUGCGGCGAGGCCGAAUCGCUUAAUAAAGCGAUUCAGGGUCUUCUCGUGUCUUCGGGACAACUAUUGCAUUUGAAUUUUUCUCUAUCAUAAUGGAGAGAUAUUCGGUUAUGCGAAGAGUAUUAACACUCAUAAGGCUCAUAAGGGAAAGCUUGGCCUCAGAAAGGCGGAUAAUACUCGCAAGGCCAACCGACGACGUUGCGCGUGUCGGUCAGGAACGCUGUCAUGGACUUAGAUCUUUUUUGUAACAACGUGAAGACGCAGACUGUUAUUAACGUCACGCUGAUAAAACGGGUAAAACUCGAUGAUGUAGCUUACCGUACACGCAAAUGCAGAGCAAUGCGAGCGUGGUCGCAACGAUCCACGAAACUUUGGCCGACAUCUCAGAAAUAUGCUGUUACCAAUCCACAAGGAACAACGUCUGCCAGUGCACUGUGCUAGUCCCUGA
Molecule: long non-coding RNA, 934 nt
Filed under: Harpegnathos saltator (Jerdon's jumping ant)
Lineage: Eukaryota; Metazoa; Arthropoda; Insecta; Hymenoptera; Formicidae
Description: uncharacterized LOC109504707, transcript variant X2
Source: RNAcentral